Odocoileus virginianus texanus is the source of this 2133-nucleotide non-coding RNA. NCBI's taxonomy places the organism in Eukaryota, Metazoa, Chordata, Mammalia, Artiodactyla, Cervidae. The record is from RefSeq and is a predicted model, not a curated record.
GAGGGGUGGAUGGUUUCAGGACGACUCAAGCGCAGUAGGGUUCCUGCCCCAGUGAGAAUCUGAUGCCCCCACUGAUCUGACAGGAGGUGGAGCUCAGGUGGUAACGCAUGCAAUAGGGAGCAACUGUAAACAGAGAGGAAGCUUCACUUGCUUGCCUGUUGCUCAUAUCCUGCUGUGAAAUCCAUGUCACAGGCCUUUGACUGGUAUUUGUCUAUUGCCCAGGGGUAGGAGACCCCUGCACUAGUCCACAGCAGGGCAGGGCUUCUGUUUGUCAUGCCUGUCCUUCACUUCUUCCCCUCACACUGGACCUGAUAGAGUGGAAAUGUUCAGUGUAUAUAUUUAUGGAACUGAAUUAAGUUUAAAAAUCUAUCAAAUGGGAAUAACAAUGACCUGCACUGCUGUACCGUCUCAUGGGGUUAUUGUGAUAAGCUCCAUAACCAUUACUGCUAACAUUUAUUGAGACUGGGCCCUGGGCCAACUACCAUUGGGAUGGCUUUGUGCAGAUCUCACUGUGACCCUGAGGGCAGGGCACCAUAAUUAUCUUAUUUUUACAAAUGAGGAAACUGAAGCUUGGAGAGGUUACAUGAACUAUCUCAUAUCACUCAGAUUGUAAGUAGCAAAGCUUGGCUCAGAACCCAGCCCAUCAGACUCUAGACCCUGUAUGUUCUUAAAUGCCACUCUAACCCACAUUAUGAAGGGCCAUGCUCUGUGCAGGUGGCAUGUUCAGGACUGUCAGGUAAAGAUAUAAACGCCUUCUCACAUCCCCAAGCUGAGUCCUUGCUUGUCCUCAAGUUUCAUGGCUGAACACAGGACCUGAAAGAGGGAUUCAGCUUUAUCUUUCCCACUGUAUUCUCCUCUUCACUUUAAGGAGAGUAUUUUCUUUUGCCAAAGUGGAACAUUUAGGAGAAUUCAUAGAUCCUACAUCACAACUGCCAUCCUGGUACCUCCACAGGGUUCUGGGAAAGGGAGGUGAGAGUCCAGAAGUCACCACUAGAGGGCUUCCAAGAGCAGAUCUAUACCAUCACCAUGGACUCCAGCCCCCAGCACCUGGACCCCCUUCUUCCACCACACUCUCACACCAGCUCCAGCCUUAGGCUGUGACCAAGUGUCCUCUGUCCCUGGUUUUGGGCAGACUCCAGGCAUCCUUAGGCUUUGGCUUCAAAAAGACCCCAGAUGCAGAGGUCAGGAGAGGCUGAAGUACGUGCUGGGGCCAGGUUGGGAGCCCUAGUGCCCUGGUCUCAUCACCAGCCUGUUCUAGAAGCUGAGGACACAGCUGAACAGAAGAAAAUCCCAGUGUUCACACAGCUCAGGCAAGACCCUGAACAGGCAAGAAAGCACUAAGAAUCCAAUGUGGUCAUAAUUGUACCAGUAGCUCAUGUAUGGAGUUCCAGCAAUGAGCCAGGCAGUGUUCUAAGCUCUCUCAUUAUAUUGUCUCCUUAAUCCUCCCCACAGCCCUGGGAGAGAAGACGGUCAUUAAUCUCAUUUACAAAGAGACUUCUGCUGGGAGAGGUCACAUGUCGGACAGAACUACUGGCCCACUGGCCCCAUCAUCACAGAUCUCUGACAAGUUUGCACCAGAAGAACUGCCAGAGUGGGAAGCCAGGGAGAUGGGGAAAAGUGAGGAGUGCCCUUCUGAGGACUCUUUACCAUCCCUGCUCCACCUCUGCAGCUGCCCCUCAAGCAUCCUGUCUCAUUCUUCAAAGCCCAUCACUGGAGGAAGUCUGCACAUUUCACCGCGGGCAGAGAAAGCAACCGGCAGCAGAAAACCAGCCGCAGACCAAGGCGUACACAUGCAAGCCAUUAUCUACUUGGAGACAGGCUGGCCUAGGACGGCCUCACUGGCUCAGGGAAGCUGGGCGGGUCCUCACCAGCAGCCCAGGGGCGACCCAGGAAGCCGCUGGCCUGCCACAAGCUUCAGCUGACUCAUCUCAGACUCCAGGCUGAACAGAAACCUAGUGAGACAUCUCUCCCUCCCAGUGAGACAUCCCAAAUAAAAGCCCCAGGUUGUAUACUCGCUACAAAUCCAAGCCUGGUCACUUGAAAUAAAUGAGUUCUGCAAGGGAAGGCACCACACCCGAUUCAGUCACCAUCAUGUCCUUUAGCACACAGCCCCAUACAGAGACGUGCUCUGCA